GACUCAGUGAUUGUGCAGUGUGUAGCACUAUUGCCUCACUGCAAGAGGUUCCUUGGUUCGAAUCUCGGCCGGGUCC
Molecule: transfer RNA, 76 nt
Filed under: Anguilla anguilla (European eel)
Lineage: Eukaryota; Metazoa; Chordata; Actinopteri; Anguilliformes; Anguillidae
Description: tRNA-OTHER
Source: RNAcentral